Molecule: non-coding RNA, 108 nt
Filed under: Flavobacterium branchiophilum
Lineage: Bacteria; Pseudomonadati; Bacteroidota; Flavobacteriia; Flavobacteriales; Flavobacteriaceae
Description: SAM-I sequence
Rfam family: SAM riboswitch aptamer (S box leader)
About the family: The SAM riboswitch is found upstream of a number of genes which code for proteins involved in methionine or cysteine biosynthesis in Gram-positive bacteria. The SAM riboswitch acts at the level of transcription termination control.
Source: Rfam by way of RNAcentral
AUGUUAUAAAGAAAGGCAGAGGGAUUAGACCCAAUGAAGCCUUAGCAACCCUACGAAUUAUCGAAGAAGGUGCUGCAUUCUACCACACAGUUUGUGGAAAGAUAACAC